RNAcentral lists this ribosomal RNA (253 nucleotides) under uncultured bacterium. RNAcentral's name for it is "partial 16S ribosomal RNA". It matches the Rfam family "Bacterial small subunit ribosomal RNA", at positions 524 to 776 of the family's 1533-position model. The record is from RNAcentral.
UACGUAGGGGGCAAGCGUUGUCCGGAAUCAUUGGGCGUAAAGAGCGUGUAGGCGGUUCGAUAAGUCUGUUGUGAAAGUCCAAGGCUCAACCUUGGGAUGCCGAUGGAUACUGUCGAACUCGAGUCCGGAAGAGGAGUGUGGAAUUCCUGGUGUAGCGGUGAAAUGCGCAGAUAUCAGGAGGAACACCGAUGGCGAAGGCAGCACUCUGGGACGUGACUGACGCUGAGACGCGAAAGCGUGGGGAGCAAACAGG